Molecule: ribosomal RNA, 202 nt
Filed under: Staphylococcus haemolyticus
Lineage: Bacteria; Bacillati; Bacillota; Bacilli; Caryophanales; Staphylococcaceae
Also listed under: 1 other name
Description: partial 16S ribosomal RNA
Rfam family: Bacterial small subunit ribosomal RNA
Source: RNAcentral
UUUAUGGAGAGUUUGAUCCUGGCUCAGGAUGAACGCUGGCGGCGUGCCUAAUACAUGCAAGUCGAGCGAACAGACAAGGAGCUUGCUCCUUUGACGUUAGCGGCGGACGGGUGAGUAACACGUGGGUAACCUACCUAUAAGACUGGGAUAACUUCGGGAAACCGGAGCUAAUACCGGAUAAUAUUUCGAACCGCAUGGUUCG